UCACCUUCAUUCAACAUGCUGUCCCUGCAGAACUCAGCUUUUUCUCUGAUGUUGUUUGCAAUCUUAUCAGGCGUCAGCUGUGCAGAUCUGACUCCAGUCAAAACAGAAGAGUUCAGUCCAGAAGGCAGCUCUGUUACUCUGUCCUACAAAGCUGGAUCUAAUGCUAAUUAUUACUUCUGGUAUCAACAAUAUCCUGGAGAACCACCAGAGUUCCUCAUCUCACACUCUGCUUCCGGCGCUGUAGGAACUAACCCAAUCCCUGGACUGAAGAUUACAGUGGAGUCAAACCGAAUCAAUUUGAUCAUCUCCUCUGCUGCAGUGACAGACUCUGCUGUGUACUACUGUGCUGUGAGGCCCACAGUGACAGGAAACACCAACACUCUGUACAAAAACCUCUGGAGCAAAGACAUCACAAUACUGAUCAACAUCCACCAGAGGGAGUCUCUCUCUGUCAGACUUUAG
Gymnodraco acuticeps is the source of this 462-nucleotide non-coding RNA. The record is from the annotation of a RefSeq genome assembly. NCBI's taxonomy places the organism in Eukaryota, Metazoa, Chordata, Actinopteri, Perciformes, Bathydraconidae.